RNAcentral lists this ribosomal RNA (427 nucleotides) under uncultured bacterium. Its description in RNAcentral is "bacterial SSU rRNA". It matches the Rfam family "Bacterial small subunit ribosomal RNA", at positions 355 to 774 of the family's 1533-position model. The record is from RNAcentral.
UAGGGAAUAUUGGACAAUGGGGGCAACCCUGAUCCAGCCAUGCCGCGUGAGUGAAGAAGUCCCUCGGGUUGUAAAGCUCUUUUGUCCGGAAAGAAAAGCAUUCGGUGAAUACCCGGAUGUUCUGACGGUACCGGAAGAAUAAGCACCGGCUAACUUCGUACCAGCAGCCGCGGUAAUACGAAGGGUGCAAGCGUUACUCGGAAUUACUGGGCGUAAAGCGUGCGUAGGUGGUUGUUUAAGUCUGAUGUGAAAGCCCUGGGCUCAACCUGGGAAUGGCAUUGGAAACUGGGCAGCUAGAGUGCGGUAGAGGGCAGUGGAAUUCCCGGUGUAGCAGUGAAAUGCGUAGAGAUCGGGAGGAACAUCUGUGGCGAAGGCGACUGCCUGGACCAGCACUGACACUGAGGCACGAAAGCGUGGGGAGCAAACA